RNAcentral lists this long non-coding RNA (593 nucleotides) under Elaeis guineensis (African oil palm). Its description in RNAcentral is "long non-coding RNA (EGUI_LNC043725)". Lineage: Eukaryota; Viridiplantae; Streptophyta; Magnoliopsida; Arecales; Arecaceae. The record is from RNAcentral.
CGCCCCCCUUUUUUUGCCAUGUGAAAUAAAGAGUCCUCCUUAAAGAAGGCUCUUAACUAACACGCGUUGCCUUACAUUCCCGAUCAGAAAUCCUACAUUUUGUCAUCAAAAUUUAUUAAAUUUUUUAUGGCAUGUAGAAGACUAAGAAUCAUUUUGCUCCAAAUAAUUAGAUCACCAAAAAUUUACUCGAUGAAUUUGUUUGGUGCAUGGGAAGUUAGAGCGCCAAAAAUUGGCACCCCUUCAUCCCAUGAGACGUCCUCCGAUCUCCUAUUUAUAGGGGAUGCCCGACAUGGCUUCUUGCAGUGAUUUUUGAGUAAAAUUAAAGAGAAGGGAUGUGAUAAAUAUAAAAAAAAUUCUAGAAAAAUUUUGAAAAAAAAAAUUGAAUGGCAAAAGUUGCUAUAAGGGUGGUGAAAUUUUCAGCAAGUGUUGUUUGAGUGUCCUAGGAUUUGAUUUUUUUAUAUGUUGGAGCCAAAAAUCAAAUUCUAGGUUGUGUGACAUUUGAAGAGUGUCUUCUUGAUGUCAUUCUGAUGGUAAGAUCGAAAGCAACUGAGCUUUGGUGCGAUCGUGAUGCAAGUUUGAAGCCGGCAGUAUUC